This 465-nucleotide ribosomal RNA is filed under the name uncultured Klebsiella sp. RNAcentral describes it as "bacterial SSU rRNA". It matches the Rfam family "Bacterial small subunit ribosomal RNA", at positions 338 to 795 of the family's 1533-position model. Lineage: Bacteria; Pseudomonadati; Pseudomonadota; Gammaproteobacteria; Enterobacterales; Enterobacteriaceae. The record is from RNAcentral.
CCUACGGGAGGCAGCAGUGGGGAAUAUUGCACAAUGGGCGCAAGCCUGAUGCAGCCAUGCCGCGUGUGUGAAGAAGGCCUUCGGGUUGUAAAGCACUUUCAGCGGGGAGGAAGGCGUUAAGGUUAAUAACCUUGUCGAUUGACGUUACCCGCAGAAGAAGCACCGGCUAACUCCGUGCCAGCAGCCGCGGUAAUACGGAGGGUGCAAGCGUUAAUCGGAAUUACUGGGCGUAAAGCGCACGCAGGCGGUCUGUCAAGUCGGAUGUGAAAUCCCCGGGCUCAACCUGGGAACUGCAUUCGAAACUGGCAGGCUAGAGGCUUGUAGAGGGGGGUAGAAUUCCAGGUGUAGCGGUGAAAUGCGUAGAGAUCUGGAGGAAUACCGGUGGCGAAGGCGGCCCCCUGGACAAAGACUGACGCUCAGGUGCGAAAGCGUGGGGAGCAAACAGGAUUAGAUACCCGAGUAGUC